CCUACGGGUGGCUGCAGUGAGGAAUAUUGGUCAAUGGGCGGAAGCCUGAACCAGCCAAGUAGCGUGAAGGAUGACGGCCCUACGGGUUGUAAACUGCUUUUAUACAGGAAUAACGCGCCUUACGUGUAGGGCUUUGCAUGUACUGUAUGAAUAAGGAUCGGCUAACUCCGUGCCAGCAGCCGCGGUAAUACGGAAGGUCCGGGCGUUAUCCGGAUUUAUUGGGUUUAAAGGGAGCGUAGGUGGGAUGUCAAGCGAGUUGUGAAAUGUUCGGGCUCAACCCUGACAUUGCAGCGGAUACUGGCGGCCUUGAGUCCGCGUGAGGCAGGCGGAAUUCGUCGUGUAGCGGUGAAAUGCUUAGAUAUGACGAAGAACCCCGAUUGCGAAGGCAGCCUGCUGCAGCGGAACUGACGCUGAUGCUCGAAAGUGCGGGUAUCGAACAGGAUUAGAUACCCUUGUAGUC
This 460-nucleotide ribosomal RNA is filed under the name uncultured bacterium. Its description in RNAcentral is "partial 16S ribosomal RNA". It matches the Rfam family "Bacterial small subunit ribosomal RNA", at positions 338 to 795 of the family's 1533-position model. The record is from RNAcentral.